UUAUUUGAAUUUUAUUGAUGACUAAGCUUGUUUACACCAACCAAUAGAAAUCCCCCACGUUUUUGAUUAACAUAAAUAUAAAGCGUGUCUGGACAGUAACAUCCGAACUAUAUAUCUUAAACCAUUUUCUUGAAAGCUGCUCAUAAAAAUGAAGACUGUAGUUCUAGUUCUUCUGGUAUGUCUUGCGAGUCUCGUAGCUGUUUCAGAAGGUUGUUGUAAAACGACGAAUUCUGCUUGCGGUGGCAGCGUCUAUUGCUGCCCUGAUUAUGAAUGUACAACCGAUUUAAAAAGAGAAGGUGUAAGAUUAUGCAAGCCUAUACCUGGAACAAAAAAAUAAAUGAAUUAUCGGAAGACAUAUCCAGUACAAAAUAAAAAUUUGUAUUAGA
Long non-coding RNA from Physella acuta, 386 nucleotides. RefSeq lists it as uncharacterized. The record is from RefSeq and is a predicted model, not a curated record. Lineage: Eukaryota; Metazoa; Mollusca; Gastropoda; Physidae.